ACUGUUCAUUCUACUUUCGGUUUUGCUCUUAGAUAGAGACACAUCGUCAAAGGCAGGUAUGAACUGUAUUGAUCAAGCUGUGAGAUAUAAAGGUUGGGCUUAAAGCAAAUAGGAGGGGUUUGGUUUUCACAGCUUUUGAAUUUUUGAUUUGUUGUAGCGUUUUGGAUUGUGAAUUUGGGUUUGUUUUGUGAAUAGGAGAGAUCCAAGAUUGUGGUAGCAUUUUGUUUUGUGAAUUUCGAUUUGGUUUCUAUCAGAACGAUUGGCAAGGGUGAAAAUUUGGGUUGUGAUUUUGUUUUUGAAAUUUGAUGUGUUUUUGAUUGAAUUGUUCAUAGGUUGAAUUUGCUUUCUUUAUUUUUAUAGUGUGCGCUAAGUCUAGAGGUUGUACGUAUUGAAGGGUGGUGAUUUAUCUGGGGACACCUACUGAAACUGGCAUAGCAGAUUAUUUACAAGCUCCAUUUGCUUUUGAUGAAGCUAACAGUUCAGCUAAUCUCUACUCUCUAGCUUGGUGCCCACUACUCCUCAAAUAAUCUAUUUCAGCAUUUUAGGUAUCUGAUGCAACAUGUGCCCCUUUCAGUUAAUUUGAUUAUGAUGCAGCCCAAUUUAAGUUUUUAUGAAAGUCAUCAAAAAUACUCUUCAGAGCAAUUGAUUCCCUUCUUCAAAACAACCAAAAUCUAAGGAAAUGCUUAAAUAUUUUGACAUAGCUAUUUAUUCUCACCGAAUUCUGCUCGGGUUCCAAGUUAUCAGAAGAAGAGGCAGAGAAUAGAAAGAAGCACAAUCUGAUCCAGUGCUUGAGAGUCAAUCUAUACGUGGCAAAAGGGCUCAAAUGCCCAUGGGUUGAGAUGUCCAGUCCUUUAGAGUUUUUGUGGCAACCUGGAAUGUAGGGGGAAACCUCCCCAUGGUGGCCUUAAUCUGGACAAUUUUCUUCAGGUUAAUAAUCCAUCAGACAUUAAUGUCUUGGGCUGAUUUCGAUAAGAUUACACAAGGUAGUUUUCGAGCUGUUUACUAUGCCGAGCUGACAAAUGAGGUUUGCUUCUUUUACUAUUUUUUAUUUUACUUGCUGAGUUUUUUUUAUUAUCGUUUGUUUCUGGGUUUCGAUGGGUACAUUUGUUUUCCACCUACUCUUGAUAUAUAAUUGUGCAUACCUGCUAUGAGUGUCAAGAGCAAAAUAUUUAUCUCAGAUAUACUGCAUGUAUAUCAACAAUGGAAACUUGAAGCAGUGACUUCAUGGAGUCUUGCUCAAUUACAUAACGCCAUUGAACCAAAGUUGAUACAUCGAGACAAUAAGUGGAGGCUUCUUCUUGGCCACUAAGCACUUUGUAAAGUAAUAUACCAUUUAGGGAUGAGAGAGCAGUUACUGACAUUGUUUUGCCAAAUCAAGUCUGACUGAUAAGAAAAUUGAAUUCAAGAGGGGAGUUGCCUCCAGGUGAGGUACUGCUAAUGCCGCUGGAUGCAACUGUUGGACAGCAAAACAAGAAGCUGAGUGUCCAGAGGGAUGCAUAUUGGAUCACAGAACAAUUUGUGUUGAUGGAAAUCAAAGGCUUGGAGGAAUCAGAUGAUAUGGAAGUACUUUGUAGAGCAAUUCAAUUGCGAACAGUUUCCGUCUCUUCGCAAAAAUACUAUUCCAAUUGAUGUUAUAUAUGGUAUUUUAUCAAUUUGAUCAAUAAUAAAGUCAUUUUCAAUUAUAUCUUUCAUUAUUGUAAAUUAUUACCAACAACA
Long non-coding RNA from Rosa rugosa (rugosa rose), 1716 nucleotides. RefSeq lists it as uncharacterized. NCBI's taxonomy places the organism in Eukaryota, Viridiplantae, Streptophyta, Magnoliopsida, Rosales, Rosaceae. The transcript has 7 exons. The record is from RefSeq and is a predicted model, not a curated record.